RNAcentral lists this ribosomal RNA (497 nucleotides) under uncultured bacterium. RNAcentral's name for it is "partial 16S ribosomal RNA". It matches the Rfam family "Bacterial small subunit ribosomal RNA", at positions 28 to 507 of the family's 1533-position model. The record is from RNAcentral.
GACGAACGCUGGCGGCGUGCCUAAUACAUGCAAGUAGAACGCUGAAGCUUGGUGCUUGCACCGAGCGGAUGAGUUGCGAACGGGUGAGUAACGCGUAGGUAACCUGCCUGGUAGCGGGGGAUAACUAUUGGAAACGAUAGCUAAUACCGCAUAAGAGUAGAUGUUGCAUGACAUUUGCUUAAAAGGUGCAAUUGCAUCACUACCAGAUGGACCUGCGUUGUAUUAGCUAGUUGGUGAGGUAACGGCUCACCAAGGCAACGAUACAUAGCCGACCUGAGAGGGUGAUCGGCCACACUGGGACUGAGACACGGCCCAGACUCCUACGGGAGGCAGCAGUAGGGAAUCUUCGGCAAUGGACGGAAGUCUGACCGAGCAACGCCGCGGGAGUGAAGAAGGGUUUCGGAUCGUAAAGCUCUGUUGUAAGAGAAGAACGAGUGUGAGAGUGGAAAGUUCACACUGUGACGGUAGCUUACCAGAAAGGGACGGCUAACUACGUG